Paramuricea clavata is the source of this 218-nucleotide non-coding RNA. Lineage: Eukaryota; Metazoa; Cnidaria; Anthozoa; Malacalcyonacea; Plexauridae. The record is from the annotation of a GenBank genome assembly.
GGAAACGGAGUGAUGUCAUAAAUUUGAAUGAUGUAUUUUUCAUGCAUCCUUUUAAGGGACUGGUCAUUUAUGGCGUUGGCAUCGAAAAGAAAGGGGUUGGGUAAACAAAAUUUUGAGCCAGUAAAAGCUUGGGUAAAUGAAAAACAAAACUCAAGGGUUGGGUAAUAAAAAUUCAUUGUCAUUUCCAAAGCCAUGAUUCACUCAAAUAUUGAAGACUA